Molecule: transfer RNA, 73 nt
Filed under: Sphaerodactylus townsendi
Lineage: Eukaryota; Metazoa; Chordata; Lepidosauria; Squamata; Sphaerodactylidae
Description: tRNA-Ser
Source: RNAcentral
GGGGUCCUGGGCUCAGUGGCAGAGUCUCUGCUUUGAAUGCAGAAGGUCCCAGCUUCCAUCCCUGCUGUGCCCA